Small nucleolar RNA from Quercus robur (English oak), 84 nucleotides. RefSeq annotates it as small nucleolar RNA snR60/Z15/Z230/Z193/J17. The record is from RefSeq and is a predicted model, not a curated record. The transcript has a single exon. Lineage: Eukaryota; Viridiplantae; Streptophyta; Magnoliopsida; Fagales; Fagaceae.
AUGGGUCAUGGGAUGCGUAUUUCAGAUGAUAAUCUGUGAUUAACACAUUAUUGUAUAGUCUUUCGCUCCUAUCUGAUGACCCAU